GACGAACGCUGGCGGCGUGCCUAAUACAUGCAAGUCGAACGAGAGCGACCGGUGCUUGCACUGGUCAAUCUAGUGGCGAACGGGUGAGUAACACGUGGGUAACCUGCCCAUCAGAGGGGGAUAACAUUCGGAAACGGAUGCUAAAACCGCAUAGGUCCUUUAACCGCAUGGUUGAAGGAGGAAAAGAGGCGCAAGCUUCUGCUGAUGGAUGGACCCGCGGUGCAUUAGCUAGUUGGUGAGGUAACGGCUCACCAAGGCCGUGAUGCAUAGCCGACCUGAGAGGGUGAUCGGCCACAUUGGGACUGAGACACGGCCCAAACUCCUACGGGAGGCAGCAGUAGGGAAUCUUCCGCAAUGGACGCAAGUCUGACGGAGCAACGCCGCGUGAGUGAAGAAGGUUUUCGGAUUGUAAAACUCUGUUGUUAGAGAAGAACAAGUGCUAGAGUAACUGUUAGCGCCUUGACGGUAUC
This 470-nucleotide ribosomal RNA is filed under the name Granulicatella adiacens. Its description in RNAcentral is "bacterial SSU rRNA". It matches the Rfam family "Bacterial small subunit ribosomal RNA", at positions 28 to 479 of the family's 1533-position model. Lineage: Bacteria; Bacillati; Bacillota; Bacilli; Lactobacillales; Carnobacteriaceae. The record is from RNAcentral.